Molecule: ribosomal RNA, 1030 nt
Filed under: Collariella quadrum
Lineage: Eukaryota; Fungi; Ascomycota; Sordariomycetes; Sordariales; Chaetomiaceae
Description: SSU rRNA
Rfam family: Eukaryotic small subunit ribosomal RNA
Source: RNAcentral
UUAUACCGCGAAACUGCGAAUGGCUCAUUAAAUCAGUUAUCGUUUAUUUGAUAGUACCUUACUACAUGGAUAACCGUGGUAAUUCUAGAGCUAAUACAUGCUAAAAAUCCCGACUUCGGAAGGGAUGUAUUUAUUAGAUUAAAAACCAAUGCCCUUCGGGGCUCUCUGGUGAUUCAUAAUAACUUCUCGAAUCGCACGGCCUUGCGCCGGCGAUGGUUCAUUCAAAUUUCUGCCCUAUCAACUUUCGACGGCUGGGUCUUGGCCAGCCGUGGUGACAACGGGUAACGGAGGGUUAGGGCUCGACCCCGGAGAAGGAGCCUGAGAAACGGCUACUACAUCCAAGGAAGGCAGCAGGCGCGCAAAUUACCCAAUCCCGACACGGGGAGGUAGUGACAAUAAAUACUGAUACAGGGCUCUUUCGGGUCUUGUAAUUGGAAUGAGUACAAUUUAAAUCCCUUAACGAGGAACAAUUGGAGGGCAAGUCUGGUGCCAGCAGCCGCGGUAAUUCCAGCUCCAAUAGCGUAUAUUAAAGUUGUUGAGGUUAAAAAGCUCGUAGUUGAACCUUGGGCCUAGCCGGCCGGUCCGCCUCACCGCGUGCACUGGCUCGGCUGGGUCUUUCCUUCUGGAGAACCGCAUGCCCUUCACUGGGCGUGCCGGGGAACCAGGACUUUUACUCUGAAUAAAUUAGAUCGCUUAAAGAAGGCCUAUGCUCGAAUACAUUAGCAUGGAAUAAUAGAAUAGGACGUGUGGUUCUAUUUUGUUGGUUUCUAGGACCGCCGUAAUGAUUAAUAGGGACAGUCGGGGGCAUCAGUAUUCAAUUGUCAGAGGUGAAAUUCUUGGAUUUAUUGAAGACUAACUACUGCGAAAGCAUUUGCCAAGGAUGUUUUCAUUAAUCAGGAACGAAAGUUAGGGGAUCGAAGACGAUCAGAUACCGUCGUAGUCUUAACCAUAAACUAUGCCGAUUAGGGAUCGGACGGCGUUAUUUUUUGACCCGUUCGGCACCUUACGAUAAAUCAAAAUGUUGGGCUCC